CACUUUCUUCCGCUUUCCGUCGGUGACUGGGAACAUUAAAAACGAGCUUUGCUGCUAAAGGUGUGAAGAUUGACCCUCCCUUCAUAAAGAGAUGUUCACAGCUCAGUCUUUCCUUGUGAGAAACGCGACCCAUAAACAGCAGGUGACCGCCAUGUGCUGUUCAUGCAAACAACAAGGUGUUGGGAAAAUCAAAGGUGGAGGCUUCGUGUGACGUUCCAGCUGAGAUGCUUCACAAUCUUGGGCCUGGUUCGACUGGUUUAAGGAUGUGAAGCCCUGAACAGAAGAUCCUGGAGGUCGAGCUGCUGCGGAGCCGUGAUGGAGGUUAAAGGUUCUUGGCUCGUGACGACUGUCGCCUCGGAUCACACGUGUUCGUCCAGAUGUUCCUGUUGGCUCGUCGUCGAAGCACUGCCGUCCCACGAAGGUGGUUCUGAACCGUGUGGUCCCAUCCAACACCUGCACGCUUCACGUUUGGGUCUCUCCCCAGAAUAAAGCGCUGCUUCUUCUUGUUGGUUUCUUUCAAGCACCGAGAUGCUCCUGGCUUCACCACAGACUGAACGGUUCUGUUCCAACAACUCGUCCUGGACUCACUGCAGGUAAAUGAACAAACACGAUGAAGAUGCUGGAAUUGUGCAAAUGAUGAAUUUCGCAACAGUCACGGGAAUACCGGCAAAAUAUUCCCGUUCUCAUCUGGUACUCAUCCUCCUGUUGGGCCCAGUACGGCACUGAGAACCCUGUUCUGGGACAACAGGUGUAAGGUGACCUGCUGGGUUCUGAUGGGCGGUUCUGGCUGAGGGUCUGACUGAGGCACAUUUCUGAUGA
Long non-coding RNA from Nematolebias whitei (Rio pearlfish), 819 nucleotides. RefSeq lists it as uncharacterized. Lineage: Eukaryota; Metazoa; Chordata; Actinopteri; Cyprinodontiformes; Rivulidae. The record is from RefSeq and is a predicted model, not a curated record. The transcript is spliced from 13 exons.